UGUAGGAAGAAUAUAAGGGCUCGCGGAUACGCCCGGUCAGUCCGCCAUGUAGGACGCGGCCCACCCAGGACCACCUUUUCUCUUUCUUUAUUUAUUCUUUUCUCUCUCUCUUCGUUUCCACCAAUCAUGUACAAGUGACCGAACAUAUGAGGAAGAAACUGAGGAGUGUGGAUGUAUGGACCGAUAAAUAGGGGUUCAAAAUGGACACGCCUGGUCAUUGACCGGGCGCGUUCGGGGGCGUUUAAUGAGUCAUAUUUGCUAAGUUCGGUUCUAGUUGCUCUUAUUCACAUACAUGAUUGCGCUGGAUUACCUUCCAUGUGAAAAGAGGAGGUAGAAAGAGGAGAUAAGAGGGGUCAUGUUCAAAUUGCUUAGAAAGAGAACCAGAAUUUUCUACAAAGGACCCACCAGGAAUUUGCGCAACGGUAUGCUUUCUUUUCUUUUCCUGGCAAGUGGUACAUAUAUUUCUGAAGCCAAAUUUGUUGUUUUUCCUCAUGGUUAAUGGCGUCAUGUACACAUUGAAUGUUUAAAAAAAGAACUGUUUCAAAGAAUUACAGUUUCUUGUAGAAAAGAUCGAUAAGUCAUGGCAUGAUCUUCCCUGGAAAGUAUGUUGAAAUGAAGAAAUUGUGCUCUCGCAAAAAAAAAAAUUGGAACGCUUCUCAUGUCACAAGUCACUACCAAAUCUUGUGAAUCUUUAAAUUGUUUGAAUAACCAAAUUAUUCACGUGAAAAACACAAGUAUGAACAAGCAAUAAACACAACCUAUCAUUACUUGAGUUUGUUCGGUUAGACAAAAUUAGCCAAAUCAUUCCAUGUGACCUUUAAACAUCCAUGGGUGGACCUAGUUGUACUAAAUUAAAGACACUUAUUUUGGGAUAGAGGGACUAUUAUAUACUUAACGCUAAAUAUCCAUCAAGUUGUUGCCAUUUUCAGACUAUUUGUUGAGAUUGUGAUGAUGUUUAGUGUAAACUUUGAACUGUGACACCUCCAAGCCUGCGAUUCUAGGUCCGCCACUGUAAGCAUCCUCAUGAUGACUCAUACUAGACCUUGUUUCGGACGUCCACGGUCAUGACCAGAGGCAACCACCACUUCCGACACGACAGUUGGGUGACAAUUGUACCAAUUUAUCGUAUCUUUGUAAGUUAAUUUGUAAAUUAAUUUGUGCUAAAUGCUUCUUCCAUCCCAAUUUAUGAAAUGAUCAUCAUUUUUUUGCGACUCAAUAUUGAAACAUCAAUUGUUGAUAAAUUACAUCUGAGUAAUGUGCAAUAUAUUAAAGGACCCCAAUAGCCAGCCUAUGUUCCCCAAGAAGGAUGGAAUUUGCAAAGGUUUUCCUUGGCAUUUUUAGUUAUAUGGGACGACAUUUUCUUCAUAACAAUAUGGCAUUUUGACGUAUAGAAGGCAAUGUUUUUUUCCAGAAAAUUGCCACCGUGUGAUUUUGAUCAGACGGCUAUGGGGGCAUUCUCGGGAACCUCCACCCCAGGGAACGCUCGCAAGUAACAUUAUCCUAUGCUAUCUGAAUCUGAUUUUCCCACAAGUGAAAAAACUUCUCUCAAAAACUGUUCUUCCAAUUAAAUUUUCCCAUUGGUUCCAAUUUAAUUGAAGGAUAAAACUUUUACUUUGCAGCGAAACUUUACAAUAUUCUAUUCAUAAGAAUUUCAUUUUUCUUUUAAAAGAGCACUUUUCUUUAUUUUGCAGCGGAAAACAUGAAUAAAAAAUUCAUGGACUUUAUAUUCUUUAUAGAAACUUUUAUUUGACCGAAUAAACAAAAUCAUGAACUUUUUAAUUUUCUUUAUAAAAUUCAUGAACUUUUCUUUUUCUGAAAAUUUUCUAUUUUCAUUUUCAGAAACUUUUCCUGUUUACUUUUCUAUUUUAUGAAGAAAAAAAAUUCGUUGAUAGUUUUUUGCACAGAAAAACUAUUUAAAAUCUGUCCAAAAUCUGGACAAAUAACAAAAAUAAAAUAAAACCGGCAGCCCAGCGCGCGCGGCUGGGCUUCCUUCUCUUUCGGCCCAAAGGCCUGGCGCAACCGCGCGCCUCCCUGGCCUGGUCUGCAGGCUCUCAGCCCAGCCUUCUUUCGGCCAUAAGGCCCAGCGCGGGGCGCGGCUCUCUGGCCUGUCUGCCGGCCAAAAGCCGAAGCCACUUUCGGCCUACUAGCCCGUCUGCGCUAGGGUUUCAUCAUUGACCGUCGAUCAGGAUCGGACGGUCCAGCGCCGAUUUCGCUGGAGGAAAACUGGGAGGGUUCCUCCCGAUCGAAACAUAGCCGCCCCAUUCGUCUCGUUCGACCCUUCUGCCUCUCUCUUGAUCUCUGGCUCACGUCGCCAGAGACGGCGUCUACCCGGCCGCCGGCAGCGGUUGCCACCGCGCCACCGUGCCGUGCGCACCUCUGUCUCCUUCCCCCCAUUCGCUUUCCACCCACCGCACCUCUCUCGCCCGCAACGCCCGGAUCCGGCUCCUCAAGCCACGCCGGCGCGGCGAGCCAGGGCGGAGCGGCGAGCUGGGGUAGCGCGGCGAGCUGUGGCCGGUCCCCUGCGAGCCAUCCACUUCCCCCUCCCCACUUCGAUUCUGCGAGAGAGGAGAAAACAGAGAGACUCGGUGGGGCUACCCCAUUCCUUUUCAGCGAGAGUAAGGGUGCGCGGCCAGAUCGCGCCGUGGCCAUCCUCCUCGCCGGUCACGCGUCCUCCCUCAGCGGUGAGCGCGCCACCGUCGAGGGACUUGGCCGCGGUGCUGGCCCUUUUUUUGUCUUUUACUUUUCUUUUCCGGCAAGCCGUUGAGCUAGCUCUGGUGGUUCUUCGUCCAACGCCUCGGCUUGCCGAUGCGCGUCCGGAUCGAGAGGAACGGCGCGGCCUUCCGGCGGCGCACUUUUCUUGCCCUUCUUUUUCCCCUCUUUUUCAUUUUGGGGUUAGGGUUCUUGGGGGGAGGGGAUUUCCUUUUCUUUUCUGUACCGAAAAUCCUAAACCAAUCUCUGGUUCUAAUACCAUUGAUAGAUGUCGUAGAUCGGUUAGGCUAGGAUUCCGGCAAUAGUAGUGAUAGGUAUUACCUUUUUCUUGGCCUGAGGAGCUCCCGCCGUUGGCCAUGGUGGAUGGCUACGGCGGUGAUGGCAGAGAGUGCGUGAGUGGCGGCGGUGGAGCUUCCCAUCGCUUUAGUGCCUCCCUCUGAAUCGGAUAGGGUUAGGAGUGGGGAACAGUGGCGGUGACGAACCUCGUACCCCGUGCCCCUGGUCCCCACCUCCUCUUUAUAGCACUGCACGACAGGGGCCCACCAGCCUUGCUUGGGCUGGACGCCCCCGAUCAGGGCGUGGGUCAAGGGCCCAGUGAGCCGUUGGGCCCAUUGAUGGAGAGAUCAAUCUAACAAAUCUCCCUUGUCUCAAUUCACUUAACCCUAGGGGAAGGAUGGCAUGUCUUCUUUUUUAAGAACCAAACAUGACUGAUUCUUACAACUAUCAAUUUUUUAUAUUAUAGCUUAACACACAUAGUGGCUGACAGAUCUUUACUAAGCGUGACUGUGCAGAGUGAUCUUCCUUGGUACUCGAACCCUAUAAUGAAGCACUGUCAGCUUGAACACUCCAACGGCCAUAAAUCGUGAUAUGGGACAACUCAAUGCAUGAAACCAUUGCAUUGGCUUCGAAGGGCGGAUUGACGGUGGGAUGGCAGACGGUAGUGUCACGGGUGGCACUGGAAGCGCUCGGGUACAUAGGAGUUUAGAUUAGAUAGUUGUAAUUGAUUUUAAGGGCUUAUAAGAAAGUGUGUGUUAACUGUUUCCAAAACCUCUGUUUUCUUCUCUUGGGCUUGGUGAUGGCCUGCGACACCAAAAAAUUUUGUGCCGCGUUAACAUCACCUUCAUGUAAUUUAACCUUCAGUCACUCGGGGCCAUCAUGUUUUGAAUGAAUAAGGUAGAAAAUGAUAUACCUUCUCUUUCAAAAAAAGAAAAGAAAGAAAGUGUGUGUUUUAAAUGAUUACCGGUGCAAGUUGUUCUGUUUUUCUUCUCUUGAUUAGUUUGUAUAAUUUUUUGAGUUAUAAAUUAUAAGCAAUAUUCUUUGCUAGGUAUAGUGUAUAUUUGGCCAUACUUGCGUUGAGCAAGCUCACUGGACAGUUAAACUUGAAGCAACCUUGAUAUCCAUUAGUAGUAUUAUCGCUGUUGAUACAUCAGCCUUCGUUUGUUGAAUGGUAUGCCCUUUCCUAGUUUUUUCUUCUAUUUCACUCGAUCCAAUUUGACUUUGCCAUGUAAAUGUAAAAACGUAGCCUUUUUCAGUUUGCUGUCAUUUAUCUAGAAACUACUUUGCCCUACAGGUGUAUGAUGGGUUAUUAUAACUUUUUACUUUCCAACGAGUAUAGUAGUUGUCCUGUUUGGUGUGUACAUCAAGAGACUCCUACGGAAGCCUGUCAGAACUUAGGAGCCAUCCAGCUUAUGGUGUAACUACUGCUGGGAAACCUUAAGGUUGCCAUCGAUGUAACAGAAUCACCCUGAUAAAAAAUGUGUCAGAUCACAAAUCAACUGCGAGCUUAUUUAUUUUUAUCUCUGUCAAAGUAACCAUUAUAAAUUUAUAGACACGCUUGCUUCCCCUACGUUGCAUGUUUGUUGAAUGAAAAAAUCAUUCAUCUUGUUUGCAUUUUUUUCAGACAAGUGAUUGGAAGGAAGUAAAUCAUGUCAUCGUGUUAUCCAUUUUCUGUUUCAGCCAUGCAUGUGGCUGUACUCCUUCGAUUAACGUAAGCUAUAAGAAGACUCUCGAGGGUGCUUUAGCUUCUGUUUCAGCCAUGCAUGUGGCUGUACUCCUUCGAUUAACGUAAGCUAUAAGAAGACUCUCGAGGGUGCUUUAGCAUGUGCUUAUGCGACUCUUUCGCUGGCCAAGACCACUGUUGAGAUUAUGUCGCUGAAGCGGAAGUUAACCACUAUCCAUGGCUUACUUUGAUAUCCACGUACAUUGAAUUUGCAACAUUGAAAAGAUGGUUUGUGUGGAUGCAUCAGAGCACAUGUGGACUCCAAAAUCUAUGAUAUCAAUGCUGUGAAGACAUUGGAAUAUUUGCGACUUCUCCUACUAAUGAUAUGCCGAUGUAGCAAAUUUCUGGAGCUGUUUAGGGGACAUUAUUAUAAGACCCUGCUGUUAUAAAAUAACUAUGAAUUGGGCUUUGCUGUCUAAUAAAGCAUUGUUUUACCCA
This is a long non-coding RNA of Aegilops tauschii subsp. strangulata, 5146 nucleotides long. RefSeq lists it as uncharacterized. The record is from RefSeq and is a predicted model, not a curated record. NCBI's taxonomy places the organism in Eukaryota, Viridiplantae, Streptophyta, Magnoliopsida, Poales, Poaceae.